This 505-nucleotide ribosomal RNA is filed under the name uncultured bacterium. RNAcentral describes it as "partial 16S ribosomal RNA". It matches the Rfam family "Bacterial small subunit ribosomal RNA", at positions 29 to 523 of the family's 1533-position model. The record is from RNAcentral.
AGUGAACGCUGGCGGUAGGCCUAACACAUGCAAGUCGAACGGCAGCACAGGAGAGCUUGCUCUCUGGGUGGCGAGUGGCGGACGGGUGAGGAAUACAUCGGAAUCUACUCUGUCGUGGGGGAUAACGUAGGGAAACUUACGCUAAUACCGCAUACGACCUACGGGUGAAAGCAGGGGACCUUCGGGCCUGCGCGAUUGAAUGAGCCGAUGUCGGAUUAGCUAGUUGGCGGGGUAAAGGCCCACCAAGGCGACGAUCCGUAGCUGGUCUGAGAGGAGGAUCAGCCACACUGGAACUGAGACACGGUCCAGACUCCUACGGGAGGCAGCAGUGGGGAAUAUUGGACAAUGGGCGCAAGCCUGAUCCAGCCAUACCGCGUGGGUGAAGAAGGCCUUCGGGUUGUAAAGCCCUUUUGUUGGGAAAGAAAUCCAGCUGGCUAAUACCCGGUUGGGAUGACGGUACCCAAAGAAUAAGCACCGGCUAACUUCGUGCCAGCCGCCGCCGUAA